UCGGGAAUUUUGGGCAAUGGGCGAAAGCCUGACCCAGCAACGCCGCGUGAAGGAUGAAGUAUUUCGGUAUGUAAACUUCGAAAGAAUAGGAAGAAUAAAUGACGGUACUAUUUAUAAGGUCCGGCUAACUACGUGCCAGCAGCCGCGGUAAUACGUAGGGACCAAGCGUUGUUCGGAUUUACUGGGCGUAAAGCGCAUGUAGGCGGGCCGUUAAGUUAGGGGUGAAAUCCCGAGGCUCAACCUCGGAACUGCCUCUAAAACUGGCGGCCUGGACCUAAGUAGAGGCAAGUGGAAUUGCGAGUGUAGAGGUGAAAUUCGUAGAUAUUCGCAGGAACACCAGUGGCGAAGGCGACUUGCUGGACUUAUGGUGACGCUGAGAUGCGAAAGCGUGGGGAGCAAACAGGAUUAGAUACCCUUGUAGUCCCUGAGCGGGCUGGCAAGGCGCAU
This 447-nucleotide ribosomal RNA is filed under the name uncultured bacterium. RNAcentral's name for it is "bacterial SSU rRNA". It matches the Rfam family "Bacterial small subunit ribosomal RNA", at positions 355 to 825 of the family's 1533-position model. The record is from RNAcentral.